CAGUCGCCGCGGUAAUACGGAGGGUGCAAGCGUUAUCCGGAUUCACUGGGUUUAAAGGGUGCGUAGGCGGAUCUGUAAGUCAGUGGUGAAAUCUCCAGGCUUAACCUGGAAACUGCCGUUGAUACUAUAGGUCUUGAAUUUUGUGGAGGUUAGCGGAAUAUGUCAUGUAGCGGUGAAAUGCAUAGAUAUGACACAGAACACCAAUUGCGAAGGCAGCUGGCUACACAACUAUUGACGCUGAGGCACGAAAGCGUGGGGAUCAAACAGGAUUAGAUACCCGUGUAGUCCCUGUCUCUUAUAC
This 301-nucleotide ribosomal RNA is filed under the name uncultured bacterium. RNAcentral describes it as "partial 16S ribosomal RNA". It matches the Rfam family "Bacterial small subunit ribosomal RNA", at positions 509 to 807 of the family's 1533-position model. The record is from RNAcentral.